ACCAUAUCGUGUAUACAAAUGUAUAUUUGCAUGAAAUUAUUAUGAAAUAUUGUUUAUGAUGAAUAUGAUUUGUACUUUGUUAAGUAUCUUCCAGCAAACACCCGGAUUUAAAAAUCUACCAAGCAUAUGAGCAAGGAUACAUCAGAGUAAUUUUUGUUAGAGGUUAGAGAGACCUCUGCAGACUGGAAGAUGCAAUAUAGCAAAUUGCUAUACAAAAGAAUACUUUCCUAUGGGGUAGAAAUCCCAACGCAGUGCCCCUUCCUCCCCAUGCUGCUGGGCCUCCUAAAAAUCAUGGGACCCUAAAACUGUCUCAUAUAUUCUGUAUGGGCAAAUAUGCAAAAAUAUAAAAAUAUGCAAAUGGACAGAAGAAUGGCUAGGACACCUAUACACCUAUAAGAUGAUGGAGAAUCACCAAACUCUGAUGUUGUGGCUAAGGCUUUAAAGGGGCAUUAAUAAAACCUGGCAUUUUCAA
Xenopus laevis (African clawed frog) is the source of this 472-nucleotide long non-coding RNA. RefSeq lists it as uncharacterized. The record is from RefSeq and is a predicted model, not a curated record. The transcript is spliced from 2 exons. NCBI's taxonomy places the organism in Eukaryota, Metazoa, Chordata, Amphibia, Anura, Pipidae.